GCGGCUGUGGUCCAGCGGCUAUGACAGGGGCUUCCCAACAACCUUUUGCAAGCAAAAGCUUGACCAAAAGAAGGGAAAUAGCCUCUAACCCGGGUUCGAUUCCCGGCAGCCGCA
RNAcentral lists this transfer RNA (114 nucleotides) under groundwater metagenome. Its description in RNAcentral is "tRNA-Gly". It matches the Rfam family "tRNA". Rfam says of the family: Transfer RNA (tRNA) molecules are approximately 80 nucleotides in length. Their secondary structure includes four short double-helical elements and three loops (D, anti-codon, and T loops). Further hydrogen bonds mediate the characteristic L-shaped molecular structure. tRNAs have two regions of fundamental functional importance: the anti-codon, which is responsible for specific mRNA codon recognition, and the 3' end, to which the tRNAs corresponding amino acid is attached (by aminoacyl-tRNA synthetases). tRNAs cope with the degeneracy of the genetic code in two manners: having more than one tRNA (with a specific anti-codon) for a particular amino acid; and 'wobble' base-pairing, i.e. permitting non-standard base-pairing at the 3rd anti-codon position. The record is from RNAcentral.